UAGGAAUUGGCGGGGGAGCACUACAACGGGUGGAGCCUGCGGUUUAAUUGGACUCAACGCCGGAAAACUCACCGGGGGCGACAGCAAUAUGUAGAUCAGGCUAAAGACCUUAUCUGAAUCGCUGAGAGGAGGUGCAUGGCCGUCGUCAGUUCGUACUGUGAAGCAUCCUGUUAAGUCAGGCAACGAGCGAGACCUGCGCCCACUGUUGCCAGCAUGUUCUUCGGAAUGAUGGGUACUCUGUGGGGACCGCUGGUGCUAAACCAGAGGAAGGUGCAGGCUACGGUAGGUCAGUAUGCCCCGAAUCUCCCGGGCUACACGCGGGCUACAAUGAUUGGGACAAUGGGUUCCUACACCGAAAGGUGAUGGUAAUCUCAUAAACCCAACCGUAGUUCGAAUUGAGGGCUGUAACUCGCCCUCAUGAAGCUGGAAUCCGUAGUAAUCGCGUUUCAACAUAGCGCGGUGAAUACGUCCCUGCUCCUUGCACACACCGCCCGUCAAACCACCCGAGUGAGGUAUGGGUGAGGGCACGG
RNAcentral lists this ribosomal RNA (530 nucleotides) under uncultured archaeon. RNAcentral describes it as "bacterial SSU rRNA". It matches the Rfam family "Archaeal small subunit ribosomal RNA", at positions 858 to 1388 of the family's 1478-position model. The record is from RNAcentral.